AACAGGAUUAGAUACCCUGGUAGUCCACGCCGUAAACGAUGUCGACUUGGAGGUUGUUCCCUUGAGGAGUGGCUUCCGGAGCUAACGCGUUAAGUCGACCGCCUGGGGAGUACGGCCGCAAGGUUAAAACUCAAAUGAAUUGACGGGGGCCCGCACAAGCGGUGGAGCAUGUGGUUUAAUUCGACGCAACGCGAAGAACCUUACCUACUCUUGACAUCCAGAGAACUUAGCAGAGAUGCCUUGGUGCCUUCGGGAACUCUGAGACAGGUGCUGCAUGGCUGUCGUCAGCUCGUGUUGUGAAAUGUUGGGUUAAGUCCCGCAACGAGCGCAACCCUUAUCCUUUGUUGCCAGCGGUUCGGCCGGGAACUCAAAGGAGACUGCCAGUGAUAAACUGGAGGAAGGUGGGGAUGACGUCAAGUCAUCAUGGCCCUUACGAGUAGGGCUACACACGUGCUACAAUGGCGCAUACAAAGAGAAGCGACCUCGCGAGAGCAAGCGGACCUCAUAAAGUGCGUCGUAGUCCGGAUUGGAGUCUGCAACUCGACUCCAUGAAGUCGGAAUCGCUAGUAAUCGUAGAUCAGAAUGCUACGGUGAAUACGUUCCCGGGCCUUGUACACACCGCCCGUCACACCAUGGGAGUGGGUUGCAAAAGAAGUAGGUAGCUUAACCUUCGGGAGGGCGCUUACCACUUUGUGAUUCAUGACUGGGGUGAAGUCGUAACAAGGUAACC
RNAcentral lists this ribosomal RNA (730 nucleotides) under uncultured bacterium. RNAcentral describes it as "bacterial SSU rRNA". It matches the Rfam family "Bacterial small subunit ribosomal RNA", at positions 771 to 1501 of the family's 1533-position model. The record is from RNAcentral.